GCCGGCUUAGCUCAAUUGGUAGAGCAACUGACUUGUAAUCAGUAGGGUGAGGGUUCAAGUCCUUUAGCCGGCACCA
RNAcentral lists this transfer RNA (76 nucleotides) under Coprobacillus sp. AM28-15LB. RNAcentral describes it as "tRNA-Thr". It matches the Rfam family "tRNA". Rfam says of the family: Transfer RNA (tRNA) molecules are approximately 80 nucleotides in length. Their secondary structure includes four short double-helical elements and three loops (D, anti-codon, and T loops). Further hydrogen bonds mediate the characteristic L-shaped molecular structure. tRNAs have two regions of fundamental functional importance: the anti-codon, which is responsible for specific mRNA codon recognition, and the 3' end, to which the tRNAs corresponding amino acid is attached (by aminoacyl-tRNA synthetases). tRNAs cope with the degeneracy of the genetic code in two manners: having more than one tRNA (with a specific anti-codon) for a particular amino acid; and 'wobble' base-pairing, i.e. permitting non-standard base-pairing at the 3rd anti-codon position. The record is from RNAcentral. Lineage: Bacteria; Bacillati; Bacillota; Erysipelotrichia; Erysipelotrichales; Coprobacillaceae.